UGCAAGUCGAACGGGAUUAUUUUUGUAGCAAUACAGAAAUAAUUCAGUGGCGAACGGGUGCGUAACACGUGGGCAAUCUGCCGAAAAGUGGGGGAUAGCUCGCCGAAAGGCGAAUUAAUACCGCAUGUGGUGAGGGACGACAUCUUCCUGAAUCCAAAGCCGGGGCAACCUGGCGCUUUUUGAGGAGCCCGCGGCCUAUCAGCUAGUUGGUGAGGUAACGGCCCACCAAGGCUAUGACGGGUAGCUGGUCUGAGAGGACGACCAGUCACACUGGAACUGAGACACGGUCCAGACACCUACGGGUGGCAGCAGUCGAGAAUUUUUCUCAAUGGGGGAAACCCUGAAGGAGCGACGCCGCGUGGAGGAUGAAGGCUUUCGGGUUGUAAACUCCUGUCAUUUGGGAACAAGUGGCCGAACUUAACUGCUUCGGCCUUGAUAGUACCAGAAGAGGAAGGGACGGCUAACUCUGUGCCAGCAGCCGCGGUAAUACAGAGGUCCCAAGCGUUGUUCGGAUUCAUUGGGCGUAAAGGGUGCGUAGGUGGCGCCGUAAGUCGGGUGUGAAAUUUCGGAGCUUAACUCCGAAACUGCAUUCGAUACUGCGGUGCUUGAGGACUGGAGAGGAGACUGGAAUUCAUGGUGUAGCAGUGAAAUGCGUAGAGAUCAUGAGGAAGACCAGUGGCGAAGGCGGGUCUCUGGACAGUUCCUGACACUGAGGCACGAAGGCCAGGGGAGCAAACGGGAUUAGAUACCCCGGUAGUCCUGGCAGUAAACGGUGCACGUUUGGUGUGGGAGGAUUCGACUCCUUCCGCGCCGGAGCUAACGCGUAAACGUGCCGCCUGGGGAGUACGGUCGCAAGAUUAAAACUCAAAGAAAUUGACGGGGGCCCGCACAAGCGGUGGAGUAUGUGGCUUAAUUCGAUGCAACGCGAAGAACCUUACCAG
Molecule: ribosomal RNA, 941 nt
Filed under: uncultured Xiphinematobacteriaceae bacterium
Lineage: Bacteria; Pseudomonadati; Verrucomicrobiota; Spartobacteria
Description: bacterial SSU rRNA
Rfam family: Bacterial small subunit ribosomal RNA
Source: RNAcentral